Molecule: transfer RNA, 97 nt
Filed under: Adelges laricis (larch wooly adelgid)
Lineage: Eukaryota; Metazoa; Arthropoda; Insecta; Hemiptera; Adelgidae
Description: tRNA-Val
Source: RNAcentral
UAAAUAUCUAAAUUUAAGUAUUUCAUUUACAAUGAUAAGAUGUUUUUAUAAACUUUAUUUAAAUAUUUAUUUUAUUAUUAUUAUUUAUUAUAUUUUU